Long non-coding RNA from Cylas formicarius (sweet potato weevil), 1342 nucleotides. RefSeq lists it as uncharacterized. The transcript has 3 exons. The record is from RefSeq and is a predicted model, not a curated record. Lineage: Eukaryota; Metazoa; Arthropoda; Insecta; Coleoptera; Brentidae.
AUUCACUCGUCUUCCGAAGAGGACGCCUCUUCAGCCUGCUGGAGCCAAUCCGUGAAAGGCUUCACUUGAGUAUGAAGAUUUGACGCUACUUUGACAGUUGAGAACCAAUCCAAUAUGGCGUCCUCGGUUUUCAUGCGAAUUGAACACAUCCUAAAAAUCCGAAUUAAAUACUUGAAUUUCGCUCCCAAACAAAACUCAACCGUACCUCAACAGCCUGAAGACAGUCGAUCAUGGCACUUUCGUUUUUUAUGUAAUUCCUCAAAACCGGUGCGAAAUACGACAGCAUUUGGCUCAACUGAGUGAAAUAUUUUUCGCCACCCGAAAUCGACAUUUGGGGAAAGUGGAGCCAUAAAAUUAACGUCCGAGGUGACUAAAGCACCGUAUGCCACAGUAUGUGACAUAGUUGUGAAUAGUAUGGCCCCCUAAUACUGAGGCGGUUGAUAUAUGAUGCGUAUCAGAAGAAUAUUGUUUUAACAAUUAAAACUAUAUAUGAAGAGUUGCGUAGUGUUUUGAACAUCGACUGUUGCCAAGAGACUUUGAGUGUGUUUGUACGAACAAUUGGUUUUUAUAACAAAACCAUCACUAAGAGGCAAGUUAUGAUGGAAUCAAGAAUAAUUUCGGAGUGCAAGACAAGAUAUUUGCGAGAAAUUCAAGAAAUUCGUGCUAAAAACGUCCUCAUCAUAUAUUUAGAUGAGAAUUAAUUAUUAAUGUGGGAGACGAGUCCAGUGACGAUAGUGAUUAUUUUCAUGUAGGAAAACAUUUUUUUUAAUAAAGAUUCUAACAUUGUUUCAUGGCUAAGUUUACUCCGAAACAUUUUAAAGUAAGAAUGGAUUUUUCACUGCAUGGACUAACAAUAAUCGAGGAAUCUCUCCGACGAAAUUCUCCACAAAUCCGUCACUUUCUGCAUUUCUGUGCACGAAGUACAUUCUUGAACGUUAUUGUGGAAUUAGGAAUCUAUUAGGGGUCACAAAGAGAAACCCAGUGAGGUAGGCCUGCGGUUAAACCCUUCAUAAAAAUCUACCAAAGCUAAAUACAGGAUUACGUCGUAAAAAUGGUAGAUCGUUAAGCGAACUAUACAUUUGAAUGUGUGGGCCGCAUAAAUGGCCGCUGCUUUUCUAAUUUUUGGAUAAUUUAAUUAUUUUUGCAAAAGUCAUUUUUACUUGGUGGUGGUUUUGUCGAAUUGAUAUUAAGGUGCGGUAAAAAUAUGUAGGUAUUUUUUCAUUAGAAAUUAUUUCUGCGGUAAAGACAAAGGAAAUAAUUUUCGUCCACAUUUCUUUCUUUUGUCUUGAAAAUUUCUUUCAAAACCGUACUUCUUUUAUUACUAGUUAUUUAAAAGGUGUCC